Molecule: long non-coding RNA, 227 nt
Filed under: Mytilus galloprovincialis (Mediterranean mussel)
Lineage: Eukaryota; Metazoa; Mollusca; Bivalvia; Mytilida; Mytilidae
Source: RNAcentral
UACUGUUUUUACUGUCAUAUUUUGACUUUGAAAAUGUGUUGUUAUAGAAUGUAAAUAUUGUUCUAUAAGUGAACUGUUUUAAUGCACAUAUAUAAAAAAAAAAUGUAUAAGACAAUGAAUAUUAUAAUGCAUUAUUUGAAGUAUUUGAUGUGUUCAAAUUUUUCAUAAUAAACAAUUUAAUUUGAUGUCUUUUAUUAUUUUUCACACCCCAUUCAUUUUUGAAAUUG